RNAcentral lists this ribosomal RNA (253 nucleotides) under uncultured bacterium. Its description in RNAcentral is "partial 16S ribosomal RNA". It matches the Rfam family "Bacterial small subunit ribosomal RNA", at positions 524 to 776 of the family's 1533-position model. The record is from RNAcentral.
GACGAAGGUGGCAAGCGUUAUUCGGAUUUACUGGGCAUAAAGCGCGCGUAGGCGGCUUGGCAAGUCGGGGGUGAAAGCCCGCAGCUCAACUGCGGAACUGCCUUCGAUACUGCCGGGCUUGAGGGCGGGAGGGGUGAUUGGAACUCCAGGUGUAGCGGUGAAAUGCGUAGAUAUCUGGAAGAACACCAGUGGCGAAGGCGGUCAACUGGCCCGAAACUGACGCUGAGGCACGAAAGCGUGGGUAGCGAACAGG